CCAACAUCUCAAAGUCUCAAGUCAAAACCUCUCCAUCUGAUAAAGAAGUUCUGUCAGCUGCAAGCAAACUGAUUCCCUGUCUAUCUUUCUCCAGGAUGUGUGCACUACCCCAUGCAAAGGAUCCAGAGCCAAGUUGAGGCCACCUUAGAAGCUGGGAACCUUGUUACUGAGCAGGUCAAUACCAUCCAGCGAGGAGCCAACUGCAGGAGGCAGAAAAGCACCACUCACCACCUCCUGCAUGGGUGCGUUUGGCUGACAGCCGGAAAAAGAAAGAGCAACACUGAAAAUGUACUGGACAUGAUCACAUCUUGGGUAUUUAAUGCAAGUAGCUAAAUUACUGAGCGGGGUAUACAGCAGAUUUGCUCCUAGGCCUGGGAGUCCAUACAGCUGGGUUCUAAUCCUUGGCUCAUCUGCUGAUCUUGACUAAGUCACUUCCCCUCGG
Molecule: long non-coding RNA, 442 nt
Filed under: Chelonoidis abingdonii (Abingdon island giant tortoise)
Lineage: Eukaryota; Metazoa; Chordata; Testudines; Testudinidae
Description: lncRNA (ENSCABG00000002442.1)
Source: RNAcentral